Molecule: ribosomal RNA, 790 nt
Filed under: uncultured bacterium
Lineage: Bacteria
Description: bacterial SSU rRNA
Rfam family: Bacterial small subunit ribosomal RNA
Source: RNAcentral
AGAGUUUGAUCAUGGCUCAGGACGAACGCUGGCGGCGUGCCUAAUACAUGCAAGUCGAGCGAACCCUUCGGGGUUAGCGGCGGACGGGUGAGUAACACGUGGGCAAUCUGCCUGUCAGACUGGAAUAACACUCGGAAACGGGUGCUAAUGCCGGAUGACACACGGGAAGGCAUCUUCCUGUGUUGAAAGGUGCAACUGCAUCGCUGAUAGAGGAGCCCGCGGCGCAUUAGCUAGUUGGUGAGGUAACGGCCCACCAAGGCGACGAUGCGUAGCCGACCUGAGAGGGUGACCGGCCACACUGGGACUGAGACACGGCCCAGACUCCUACGGGAGGCAGCAGUAGGGAAUCUUCCGCAAUGGGCGCAAGCCUGACGGAGCAACGCCGCGUGAGCGAAGAAGGCCUUCGGGUUGUAAAGCUCUGUUGCUCGGGGAGAGCGACAAGGAGAGUGGAAAGCUCCUUGUGAGACGGUACCGAGUGAGGAAGCCCCGGCUAACUACGUGCCAGCAGCCGCGGUAAUACGUAGGGGGCAAGCGUUGUCCGGAAUCACUGGGCGUAAAGCGUGCGUAGGCGGUUGCGUAAGUCUGAAGUGAAAGUCCAAGGCUCAACCUUGGGAUUGCUUUGGAAACUGCAUAACUUGAGUGCUGGAGAGGCAAGGGGAAUUCCACGUGUAGCGGUGAAAUGCGUAGAUAUGUGGAGGAAUACCAGUGGCGAAGGCGCCUUGCUGGACAGUGACUGACGCUGAGGCACGAAAGCGUGGGGAGCAAACAGGAUUAGAUACCCCGGUAGUCC